Molecule: non-coding RNA, 1599 nt
Organism: Nicotiana tabacum (common tobacco)
Lineage: Eukaryota; Viridiplantae; Streptophyta; Magnoliopsida; Solanales; Solanaceae
Source: RefSeq, a predicted model, not a curated record
GAAAAAAAGAGUUAAAGAGGAGAUGGCAGCGGUACUGAAGCCAAACAGAGCUCGUAAACAUUUUACUUAAAAAAAAGGGGAGUGGCAGAGUGUGUCUGGAAGUAAAGUUGGGAUUGGGGAUCAAAAAAUUGGGUGUGGUCAGUAGUGUCGUACCGAGAGGACAAGAUCUGGGGAUUGGGCAAUGAAAUGAGAAUAGGGAAAGCAGCAGCUGGUUCUAAGAGUAGCACCACCACCAAAUUGGUCUUUAUUUGCGUGGCGCUGUUGGGGGGAUUUCUUCUUGUAGAUCUGCUCUGGGCUUCCUCUUCUUCUUCCUCUUCCUCCUUCAACUGGCCUCUCCCAACAUCCAAUGUCCUUGUCUUUCCUAAUCAGACUCUCCCCAAGGCGAAGAAAGACGGAGAUGCCGGUCCCCAGAGGAUAUUAUCAGCUACUUUUGCGGAUUUGCCAGCCCCGCAAUUGAAGUGGGAGAAGAUGGCCACAUCCCCUGUGCCUCGCCUUGAUGGUGCUGCUCUCCAGAUCAACGACCUUCUUUACGUCUUUGCUGGUUAUGGAACCAUUGAUCAUGUCCGCACAUCACCCUAAUAAUUUUCCUUUGGCCGUCAUUUUCUUUUUUAUUACGCGAACUGCCGGAUUUUCUCACCUUCUGUCUGUAAUGAAAUUAAAUUGAUUUCCCCCCCCCNCAGGGGUCCUACUGCUCGCAAUUUUGUUCUCGACACUGAGACGAAGCAAUGGCAGGACUUGCCUCCUUUGCCAGUCCCAAGGUAUGCGCCUGCAACACAGCUUUGGAGAGGCAGGCUUCAUGUAAUGGGUGGGAGCAAAGAGAACAGACAUACCCCAGGAUUAGAGCAUUGGAGUAUUGCUGUUAAGAAUGGAAAAGCUUUAGAAACAGAGUGGCGGACUGAGAUACCCAUUCCUCGUGGUGGACCUCACAGGGCCUGUGUUGUGUUUGAUGAUCGACUUUAUGUCUUUGGUGGUCAAGAGGGUGAUUUUAUGGCUAAACCUGGAUCACCUAUUUUCAAAUGCUCGCGUAGAAACGAGGUUGUAUAUGAUGAUGUUUACAUGUUAGAUGAUGACAUGAAAUGGAAAGUGUUGCCUCCCAUGCCAAAGCCAGAUUCCCAUAUAGAGUUUGCUUGGGCUAUUGUCAACAGAUCUCUUGUAAUUGUUGGAGGAACUACUGAGAAGCACCCAAAUACCAAAAAGAUGACCCUUGUUGGAGAAAUAUUCCAGUUUCAGUUUGAUACACAGAAAUGGAAGGUUAUUGGCAAACUUCCUUACCGUGUAAAGACAACUCUUGUUGGCUUCUGGAAUGGAUGGUUGUACUUCACAUCAGGACAAAGAGACAAAGGACCGGAUGAUCCAGCGCCAAGGAAGGUCAUUGGAGAGAUGUGGAGAACUAAAUUAAAGUUGUUAUGAGCUCAUAUUUUUACCUAACCUUCUGCCCUCAUAGAGAAAUGUUAUAGUGUAAAUUAAUGCGAGUGCUUUUGUUACUUUCUCUUUUUUAUUUGUUUCCAUGCGAUUUAUUUUGGUCCAACCUCAUUUAGCCAUGGGUGGAAACCAAUUACACAGUGGAGAGUGGGCAGUGUUAUAUUCUUUUAGCUUCAA